AUCAUACAAUGCUGUGAUGGGGAGAAGCAUCAAGUCUGCACACUUGCAGACAGCAGCAGACAGCUUUGUGCUGUGGUGAAGCUCCUACAGUGACUGACAGCCUGCAGAGGAAACAACAGAUUAGGAAAGUAUUUGCCUGGUUUACGGUAACUGGAGGUGGAGAGCAAACAGUGAGCUGCCAACUCCAACCCACGUGACCUCGGGCCUCGAUUAAACACGUGCGUUGAUUUACUCCUAAACUUGGCACAAGUGCAAAUCCAGAAACUGCACGCAGGUCCAUGGUCCGUGUGUGUGGGUGCACAAAGCGAUGGACGGAUUCCCACCAUUGGACGAGGCGACGGAGGAAGAGAUCUUGAUUGGCUGGAGGGACAGCGACGUGGGCUGGAAGGGGCCUAGCGCUAGACAGGAGCCCCCCUGCAGUGACUGUGCCACUGAAGUUAGUGUGUGCAUGAUAGAAUUGUGUUUCUUUUCGGGCUUUGUGCUUAUUUUCGGCACAACGUAGGGGUGAGCUGCCAUUUUGUUUGGAUCUGUUUUCUCCUAUUAUUGCGCAGGGAGUUAGGGUUAGUGGAUGUCUUGGUUUUGCCAUUUUCUGUUGUGACAGGUCUUUGUGUUGGGAACCAUAGGCGCCGUUUUGUUUGUCGUUUCGGCCUUGGCUCACCCUGAAGUCCUGAAGUUGGUGGUUGUUUUUCCUUCCUUUUUUUCGUUACACUGUAAAUACACUUUGUCACUCACGGGUUGUUGGUUUGUGUGUAAAUAAAUAGCGAUUUUCAGUCAGAAUCAGAAUGACCUCAGUCCCAACUCUGUGCCAACCUUUGAAAUCAAUCCUCAGCUCCUCAGGAAAAAUCAGUGACUUGAGUGUUACAUACGGUCAAAGAAUUCUUUGAGGUUUUACAACCUGGAUUAUCAACAUAUUAGUGUUUAGGGAUUAGCCAAAGACGGUAACCUACUUGAUCUAUUCACACAAAGCUUCCAACUGCAAUAAGACAGAUUCAGCCAAUCAACCCAGGUGGCUGUUUUCUUGAGUUCUGUCCAUUAUAAUUGUAAAUAUUUAUAUAUUUUUGUUUUUGUAAUUGUCUGAAAAACCCACAAAAAAAUUAUAUUUUAUUUCUUACAAUUGUGUUUUCACAAAAGUGUGGACCAGAUUACAAUAGAUGCAUAUCUUAAACCUGACACUACAUCACAGUUUAUUAAUUAAUCCUUUACUCAGAUUGGGCAACCUAUUAGUUUAGUAAUACAUUUAUAGAAGAGCUGAUAUUUAUCAUAAAUCAUAUCUACAGUACAUCUACUGCUCUUAAGACAUUAUUAGUCAUCAUUGUCACCUGAUCUGGAUGCAUUCACACAUCUCGGCACAGCACAGUGCUCCUUGUAAAUGACAGUGAAGUAACACCAGGGCCUGUCUGUCCCACCAGGGUUACGACAGGUAGGUCACUGAGAAACAAAUGCUGCAGUUUAGCACAAGAAUUAUAGUCCCUGUUGGUUUAAAUCAUGUUGGAUUAUACUAAGAGGUCUCCCAAACUUUCCUCAUCCACACUUGUAUAGAUACUGUACAGUACAGGAGCUCUCACUUGCAGGGGUAGUUGUCUGGAGUAUAGCUGUUUCGGUACAACAGACUUGACCACCUACGGCAGGUUUUCCCAGACUUGGUCACAGAGAUUGUUCCUCUGUACGCUUUGCCUGUACCUGUGAAACACUCGACCUCUGGAACGACGGAUGGAGGCUUAGAGGCUGACAUGGAGAAUUGUUGAGGGAACAAAAAAAGACUUUAAAUAGCAGCACCUGAACACAACACAACAUUUACAGUUUAAGUCUCAUUGUUGGUGGAAAAGUGGAAAAAUAAUUGAGCCUUUCAUUUCACAAACAUCAUCAACAGAAAACUACGGUUUUAAAAUGUAAGAUCUGUCUAGUAUAUUUAGGUAUAUUUAAAUACUGUACAGUGACUUACUACAGCGAGGAAUAGAGCAGUAUUCCUUGCGAUGACUUGGCCUGGUGGUGAAGCGCCACGGUCUGAGGUCUCCAUCUGGAUUACGACAGUAGUUUUCUUCAAGAUGCUUGUUUAGAUGACUAGACAAAAGAUGAGCCUCUUUCAGCUUUUCUUUACAAUCUAGUAAAGUGUUCAAACUAAACUCAAUGGGGUCUCACGCGCUGGGGGUGUAGUCAUGCUUAUGAGGUGUCUGGGAGUCCCAGUGUUGGCAGGUGAGGCUGUUGUCAGUGAUGGAGAUUUUUCCUCUGUAGUCGUCACCGUUGCAGCGCAUACACUCCUCUAUAAGGCACAGAGUUUCUACUAAGUACAGUCUGUUAAAACCAGGAAAGCCUGCUAGGCUCCCUGCAGCCACCAGCACCCCUCUAGUGCCAAUGUCAUGCUUCACAUCAUACAAUGCUGUGAUGGGGAGAAGCAUCAAGUCUGCACACUGGCAGACAGCAGCAGACAGCUUUGAGCUGUGGUGAAGCUCCUACAGUGACUGACAGCCUGCAGAGGAAACAACAGAUUAGGGUAGAAAAUAAGACAACUCAAGUAUUACUCAAUAUUUGUCAUGAUGAGGUCUGAAAAUACAGUCCAACAACCUUUUUCACCUUUUGUGUUUUCUCAAAAUGCCCUUUACUGGAAUCGUGCUCUGACCCAGAAAGUAUUUGCCUGGUUUACGGUAACUGGAGGUGGAGAGCAAACAGUGAGCUCCAACUCCAACCCACGUGACCUCGGGCCUCGAUUAAAGACGUGCGUUGAUUUACUCCUAAACUUGGCACAAGUGCAAAUCCAGAAACCUGCACGCAGGUCCAUGGUCCGUGUGUGUGGGUGCACAAAGCGAUGGACGGAUUCCCACCAUUGGACGAGGCGACGGAGGAAGAGAUCUUGAUUGGCUGGAGGGACAGCGACGUGGGCUGGAAGGGGCCUAGCGCUAGACAGG
Long non-coding RNA from Betta splendens (Siamese fighting fish), 2903 nucleotides. RefSeq lists it as uncharacterized. The transcript is spliced from 4 exons. The record is from RefSeq and is a predicted model, not a curated record. NCBI's taxonomy places the organism in Eukaryota, Metazoa, Chordata, Actinopteri, Anabantiformes, Osphronemidae.